GGGUUUACCCAUUGGUCAGGCUUAAUUGUCUGUACUGGUGAGAUGAAUCUCUACCUUCUGAGGAACUUUCAUGCCAUUUAUUUGGUGUGAUGGGAAAUCAGGACUGUUACUUUGAAAAAAUUAGAGUGUUUAAAGCAGACUAUUGUCUGAAUACAUUAGCAUGGAAUAAUGAAAUAGGACGGACUGAUUCUAUUUCGUUGGUUUCUAGGAUCACCGUAAUGAUUAAUAGGGAUAGUUGGG
This 240-nucleotide ribosomal RNA is filed under the name Diversispora sp. RNAcentral's name for it is "partial small subunit ribosomal RNA". The stretch from base 48 to 240 matches the Rfam family "Eukaryotic small subunit ribosomal RNA", at positions 693 to 886 of the family's 1831-position model. The record is from RNAcentral. Lineage: Eukaryota; Fungi; Glomeromycota; Glomeromycetes; Diversisporales; Diversisporaceae.